RNAcentral lists this ribosomal RNA (271 nucleotides) under uncultured Rhodocyclaceae bacterium. Its description in RNAcentral is "partial 16S ribosomal RNA". It matches the Rfam family "Bacterial small subunit ribosomal RNA", at positions 1111 to 1382 of the family's 1533-position model. Lineage: Bacteria; Pseudomonadati; Pseudomonadota; Betaproteobacteria; Rhodocyclales; Rhodocyclaceae. The record is from RNAcentral.
UUAGUUGCCAUCAUUUGGUUGGGCACUCUAAUGAGACUGCCGGUGACAAACCGGAGGAAGGUGGGGGAUGACGUCAAGUCCUCAUGGCCCUUAUGGGUAGGGCUUCACACGUCAUACAAUGGUCGGUACAGAGGGUUGCCAACCCGCGAGGGGGAGCUAAUCCCACAAAGCCGAUCGUAGUCCGGAUCGCAGUCUGCAACUCGACUGCGUGAAGUCGGAAUCGCUAGUAAUCGUGGAUCAGCAUGUCACGGUGAAUACGUUCCCGGGUCUU